This 458-nucleotide ribosomal RNA is filed under the name uncultured bacterium. Its description in RNAcentral is "bacterial SSU rRNA". It matches the Rfam family "Bacterial small subunit ribosomal RNA", at positions 28 to 507 of the family's 1533-position model. The record is from RNAcentral.
GAUGAACGUUGGCGGCGUGCCUAACACAUGCAAGUCGAACGGAAAUAGCAAUAUUUGAGUGGCGCACGGGUGAGUAACACGUAGCUAAUCUACCUCAAAGCGCGGGAUAACGUGUCGAAAGACAGGCUAAUACCGCAUAAGCUCGCGACCUGUAGAGGGUUGCGAGAAAAGGCGCAAGUCACUUUGAGAUGAGGCUGCGGCCCAUCAGCUAGUUGGGGUGGUAAAAGCACACCAAGGCGACGACGGGUAGGGGACCUGAGAGGGUGACCCCCCACACUGGGACUGAGACACGGCCCAGACUCCUACGGGAGGCAGCAGUGGGGAAUAUUGCUCAAUGGGCGAAAGCCUGAUGCAGCGACGCCGCGUGAGGGAUGACGGCCUUCGGGUUGUAAACCUCUUUCAGCAGGGAAGAAGCGAAAGUGACGGUACCUGCAGAAGAAGCACCGGCUAACUACGUG